This 115-nucleotide ribosomal RNA is filed under the name Lepisosteus oculatus (spotted gar). Lineage: Eukaryota; Metazoa; Chordata; Actinopteri; Semionotiformes; Lepisosteidae. The record is from RNAcentral.
UCCAGCAGCCAUAUCAUUCUCACUCACAACUGGCAACCCACUGAAGCGAAGCAGGUGUGUGCCUUGUCAGUACCUGGAUGGGGGACCUCCUGGAAAACUAAGGUUGCUGCUGGAA